This 68-nucleotide transfer RNA is filed under the name Marmota monax (woodchuck). RNAcentral describes it as "tRNA.Thr". The record is from RNAcentral. Lineage: Eukaryota; Metazoa; Chordata; Mammalia; Rodentia; Sciuridae.
GUUGUAGCUCAGUGGUACUGUACUUGCCUCGUAUGCAUGAAGCCCUGGGUUUGAUUCUCAGCAUCACA